GUGGGGAAUUUUGGACAAUGGGCGAAAGCCUGAUCCAGCCAUGCCGCGUGCAGGAUGAAGGCCUUCGGGUUGUAAACUGCUUUUGUACGGAACGAAAAGACUCUGGUUAAUACCUGGGGUCCAUGACGGUACCGUAAGAAUAAGCACCGGCUAACUACGUGCCAGCAGCCGCGGUAAUACGUAGGGUGCAAGCGUUAAUCGGAAUUACUGGGCGUAAAGCGUGCGCAGGCGGUUAUAUAAGACAGAUGUGAAAUCCCCGGGCUCAACCUGGGAACUGCAUUUGUGAGUGUAUAGCUAGAGUACGGCAGAGGGGGAUGGAAUUCCGCGUGUAGCAGUGAAAUGCGUAGAUAUGCGGAGGAACACCGAUGGCGAAGGCAAUCCCCUGGGCCUGUACUGACGCUCAUGCACGAAAGCGUGGGGAGCAAACAGGAUUAGAAACCCGGGUAGUCC
This 450-nucleotide ribosomal RNA is filed under the name uncultured bacterium. Its description in RNAcentral is "partial 16S ribosomal RNA". It matches the Rfam family "Bacterial small subunit ribosomal RNA", at positions 354 to 796 of the family's 1533-position model. The record is from RNAcentral.